AUUGAACGCUGGCGGCAUGCCUUACACAUGCAAGUCGAACGGCAGCACGGGAGCAAUCCUGGUGGCGAGUGGCGAACGGGUGAGUAAUAUAUCGGAACGUGCCCGGUCGUGGGGGAUAACGUAGCGAAAGCUACGCUAAUACCGCAUACGAUCUACGGAUGAAAGCGGGGGAUCGCAAGACCUCGCGCGAUUGGAGCGGCCGAUAUCAGAUUAGGUAGUUGGUGGGGUAAAGGGCUCACCAAGCCAACGAUCUGUAGCUGGUCUGAGAGGACGACCAGCCACACUGGAACUGAGACACGGUCCAGACUCCUACGGGAGGCAGCAGUGGGGGAAUUUUUGGACAAUGGACGCAAGUCUGAUCCAGCCAUUCCGCGUGCAGGAUGAAGGCCUC
This 391-nucleotide ribosomal RNA is filed under the name uncultured bacterium. RNAcentral describes it as "bacterial SSU rRNA". It matches the Rfam family "Bacterial small subunit ribosomal RNA", at positions 30 to 418 of the family's 1533-position model. The record is from RNAcentral.